Molecule: ribosomal RNA, 510 nt
Filed under: uncultured bacterium
Lineage: Bacteria
Description: partial 16S ribosomal RNA
Rfam family: Bacterial small subunit ribosomal RNA
Source: RNAcentral
GACGAACGCUGGCGGCGUGCUUAACACAUGCAAGUCGAACGAAGAGCGAUGGAAGCUUGCUUCUAUCAAUCUUAGUGGCGAACGGGUGAGUAACGCGUAAUCAACCUGCCCUUCAGAGGGGGACAACAGUUGGAAACGACUGCUAAUACUGCAUACGAUCUAACCUCGGCAUCGAGGAAAGAUGAAAGGUGACCUCUAUGUAUAAGCUAUCACUGAAGGAGGGGAUUGCGUCUGAUUAGCUAGUUGGAGGGGUAACGGCCCACCAAGGCGAUGAUCAGUAGCCGGUCUGAGAGGAUGAACGGCCACAUUGGGACUGAGACACGGCCCAGACUCCUACGGGAGGCAGCAGUGGGGAAUCUUCCGCAAUGGACGAAAGUCUGACGGAGCAACGCCGCGUGAGUGAUGACGGCCUUCGGGUUGUAAAGCUCUGUUAAUCGGGACGAAAGGCCUUCUUGCGAAUAGUGAGAAGGAUUGACGGUACCGGAAGAGAAAGCCACGGCUAACUACGUG